Non-coding RNA from Arabis alpina (gray rockcress), 109 nucleotides. The record is from Rfam. NCBI's taxonomy places the organism in Eukaryota, Viridiplantae, Streptophyta, Magnoliopsida, Brassicales, Brassicaceae.
AACUCCAUGGUGAGGACAAGAUCUAGUGUAACCCUUCAAUCUUUGCCAUGCUUCAUAGAGAGUUUCAUUAGGACCUUGCUUGAAGCUCGUGAUAUCGUUCUUAAUCGGU